This 498-nucleotide ribosomal RNA is filed under the name uncultured bacterium. Its description in RNAcentral is "partial 16S ribosomal RNA". It matches the Rfam family "Bacterial small subunit ribosomal RNA", at positions 28 to 506 of the family's 1533-position model. The record is from RNAcentral.
GACGAACGCUGGCGGCGUGCCUAAUACAUGCAAGUCGAGCGAAGUUUUUCUGGUGCUUGCACUAGAAAAACUUAGCGGCGAACGGGUGAGUAACACGUAAAGAACCUGCCUCAUAGACUGGGACAACUAUUGGAAACGAUAGCUAAUACCGGAUAACAGUAUUUCUCGCAUGAGAGAUAUUUAAAAGUUGGUUAUGCUAACACUAUGAGAUGGCUUUGCGGUGCAUUAGCUAGUUGGUGGGGUAAAGGCCCACCAAGGCGACGAUGCAUAGCCGACCUGAGGGGGGGAUCGCCCAAUCUGGGCCUGAGACCCGCCCCAGACUCCCACGGGAGGCAGCAGUGGGGAACUUCCCGCAAUGGGCAAAACCCUGACGGACCAACGCCGCGGGGGUGAAGAAGGUUUUCGGUUCGGAAAGCUUUUUUGUUAGGGAAGAAGGGAUCUUUCUUAACUCUCCAUUUAAGAGACGGUCCCUAGCCAAAACCCCCCGGCUAACUACGU